CCUGUACUUGGUGUUACUGCGAAGGGGGGACGGAGAAGGCUAUGUUGGCCGGGCGACGGUUGUCCCGGUUUAAGCGUGUAGGUGUGUGUUCCAGGUAAAUCCGGUUCACUUUAACACUGAGGCGUGAUGACGAGGCACUACGGUGCUGAAGCAACAAAUGCCCUGCUUCCAGGAAAAGCCUCUAAGCAUCAGGUAACAUCAAAUCGUACCCCAAACCGACACAGGUGGUCAGGUAGAGAAUAC
This 243-nucleotide ribosomal RNA is filed under the name Salmonella enterica subsp. enterica serovar Newport. RNAcentral's name for it is "partial 23S ribosomal RNA". It matches the Rfam family "Bacterial large subunit ribosomal RNA", at positions 1438 to 1681 of the family's 2925-position model. The record is from RNAcentral. Lineage: Bacteria; Pseudomonadati; Pseudomonadota; Gammaproteobacteria; Enterobacterales; Enterobacteriaceae.